AUGAAAAUCAUUAGUUGGAACCGCCGGGGGCUCGGGAAUGGCCCGACAGUUCGAUCUCUUCUCGAGCUGGGGAGAGCGGAGGAUCCCGAUGUGUUGUUCUUGGCGGAGACAAGGCUUACGGAGAAGGAGCUGGAGAGUUUUUGGUGGAAGCUAGGGCUAGCUCACUUGUGUGCCUGGAACCUAGUGGGUAGGAGCCGAGGGGGUGCAAUGUUCUGGCGACGAGGGCUUGACGUUUCUCUUCGUUCGUAUGGCAGGAGGCACGUAGAUGUGGAUGUGAAGGAGGAGGAUGGCUCAGUUUGGCGUCUGACGGGUGGUUAUGGGGAGUCGGCUACGGAGAGAAAGAAAGAAACGUGGAGAACACUUCGACUUCUCAAGCAACAGCACCAGCAUGACCGUACAUGGCCAUGUCUUGGAGAUUUCAACGAAAUUCUGUCUGGUGUAGAGAAGGUGGGCGGAGCUGAUGCUACGUCUUGA
RNAcentral lists this ribosomal RNA (474 nucleotides) under Triticum aestivum (bread wheat). RNAcentral describes it as "partial small subunit ribosomal RNA". Lineage: Eukaryota; Viridiplantae; Streptophyta; Magnoliopsida; Poales; Poaceae. The record is from RNAcentral.